This 253-nucleotide ribosomal RNA is filed under the name uncultured bacterium. Its description in RNAcentral is "partial 16S ribosomal RNA". It matches the Rfam family "Bacterial small subunit ribosomal RNA", at positions 524 to 776 of the family's 1533-position model. The record is from RNAcentral.
UACGAAGGGGGCUAGCGUUGCUCGGAAUUACUGGGCGUAAAGGGCGCGUAGGCGGAUAGUUUAGUCAGAGGUGAAAGCCCUGGGCUCAACCUGGGAAUGGCAUUGGAAACUGGCGACCUAGAGUGCGGUAGAGGGUAGUGGAAUUCCCGGUGUAGCAGUGAAAUGCGUAGAGAUCGGGAGGAACAUCUGUGGCGAAGGCGACUGCCUGGACCAGCACUGACACUGAGGCACGAAAGCGUGGGGAGCAAACAGG